Ataeniobius toweri is the source of this 75-nucleotide non-coding RNA. The record is from the annotation of a GenBank genome assembly. Lineage: Eukaryota; Metazoa; Chordata; Actinopteri; Cyprinodontiformes; Goodeidae.
UGCACAGUGGCACAGUUGGUAGCACUGCAGCAAGAAGGUCCUGGGUUCAUUUCCCAGCUGGGGGUCUUUCUGCAU